AUUAAACUUGGGACUUUGAGCGUAGUGAUAAGUUUUCUUAACAAAUUGAGGCCUACAUCAAAUAAGAAAAAAAAAACACUACUAAUGCCAACAUCAAGAAGGAAAAAAACCAAUAGUUGGAGGAGGGAGGGAGGGGGAGCGGCGGAGGCCGGAGGGUGCUAGGUUGUGGCAAUGUUACAGCAAACCAUUUUGCCACACUAUCUAUAUAAGUUGAUUAAGGAUGAAUUGAAAUACCAUACCACAAAUACUUUUUAUAUUAUUGUUGCCCACACGCGCAUGGAUAAUUGUCAAUUGUGACAUAUAGUAAUCAUUCUUUAUAAGAUUUAUAUCAAUUAACAGUUGUGAGUUUUAACGCACAUUGCGGCAUGUGAAUGUAGGUAGUUGACAAGAUCCAAUGCAUUAACUAAUUGUCAUUUAUAUAUCGAAUCUAGACUGUACAAUAGAAUGAAAAAUAUUCAAAAUCAUUUAAAAUUCUUGUAGGUUUGUUUGACCCACCAAACGUUUUUACAAGAUUAAGUUAUCCACACAUACGUAUACAACUAUGAAAUACACUAGUAAUUCUUCAUGAGAUUCACAUCAUUCAUCCGAUGU
This 591-nucleotide long non-coding RNA is filed under the name Malus domestica (apple). RNAcentral describes it as "long non-coding RNA (MDOM_LNC009911)". Lineage: Eukaryota; Viridiplantae; Streptophyta; Magnoliopsida; Rosales; Rosaceae. The record is from RNAcentral.